AUGAACGCUGGCGGCGUGGAUAAGGCAUGCAAGUCAAACGGCCCGCAAGGGCAGUGGCGAACGAGGUAGUAAUACGCAGGUACGCACCCCAAAGUCAGGAAUAACUCGGCGAAAGCCGAGCUAAUACUUGAUAGUCUCGAAAGAGUAAAGAUUUAUCGCUUUGGGAGCGGCCUGUGGAGUAUCAGCUAGUUGGUAAGGUAAUGGCUUACCAAGGCUAUGACGCUUAGGGGAGCUGAGAGGCUGACCCCCACCGAUGGUACUGAGACACGGACCAUACACCUACGGGUGGCUGCAGUCGAGAAUCUUCCGCAAUGGGCGAAAGCCUGACGGAGCGACGCCGCGUGGUUGAUGAAGUCCUUAGGGACGUAAAAACCUUUUAUCAGGGAGAAAGUUUAUUGAUAGUACCUGAUGAAUAAGGGGUUGCUAAACUCGU
This 433-nucleotide ribosomal RNA is filed under the name uncultured bacterium. Its description in RNAcentral is "bacterial SSU rRNA". It matches the Rfam family "Bacterial small subunit ribosomal RNA", at positions 29 to 506 of the family's 1533-position model. The record is from RNAcentral.